This 440-nucleotide ribosomal RNA is filed under the name uncultured bacterium. RNAcentral's name for it is "partial 16S ribosomal RNA". It matches the Rfam family "Bacterial small subunit ribosomal RNA", at positions 338 to 795 of the family's 1533-position model. The record is from RNAcentral.
CCUACGGGUGGCAGCAGUGGGGAAUAUUGCACAAUGGAGGCAACCCUGAUGCAGCGACGCCGCGUGAAGGAUGAAGUCUUUCGGUAUGUAAAAUUCUAUCUGCAGGGAAGAAAAUGACGGUACGUGACUCAGACGCUCCGGCUAACUACGUUAAAGCAGCCGCGUUAAUCCGUAGGGGGCAAGCGUUUUCCGGAUUUACUGGGUGUAACGGGCGCGUAGACGGUAUGUAAAGUCUGAUGUGAACGCCCGGGGCUCAACCCCGGGACUGCAUUGGAAACUGGCGAACGAGAGUGUCGGAGAGGCAAGUGGAAUUCCUAGUGUAGCGGUGAAAUGCGUAGAUAUUAGGAGGAACACCAGUGGCGAAGGCGACUGGCUGGACGAUGACUGACGUUGAGGCUCGAAAGCGUGGGGAUCAAACAGGAUUAGAUACCCGAGUAGUC